AACGAACGCUGGCGGCAGGCCUAACACAUGCAAGUCGAGCGCGCCCUUCGGGGUGAGCGGCGGACGGGUGAGUAACGCGUGGGAACGUGCCCUUCUCUGCGGAAUAGCCUCGGGAAACUGAGAGUAAUACCGCAUACGCCCUUUGGGGGAAAGAUUUAUCGGAGAAGGAUCGGCCCGCGUUGGAUUAGGUAGUUGGUGGGGUAAUGGCCCACCGAGCCGACGAUCCAUAGCUGGUUUGAGAGGAUGAUCAGCCACACUGGGACUGAGACACGGCCCAGACUCCUACGGGAGGCAGCAGUGGGGAAUCUUAGACAAUGGGGGCAACCCUGAUCUAGCCAUGCCGCGUGAGUGAUGAAGGCCUUAGGGUUGUAAAGCUCUUUCAGCUGGGAAGAUAAUGACGGUACCAGCAGAAGAAGCCCCGGCUAACUCCGUG
Molecule: ribosomal RNA, 433 nt
Filed under: uncultured bacterium
Lineage: Bacteria
Description: partial 16S ribosomal RNA
Rfam family: Bacterial small subunit ribosomal RNA
Source: RNAcentral